GUCCUUAAAAAUGAAGGCAGCACAUGUACUAAAAUUGGAAUGAUACAGAGAAGAUUAGCAUGCCCCUGCACAAGGAUGACAUGCAAAUUUGUGAAGGGUUCCAUAUUAAA
This is a small nuclear RNA of Echinops telfairi (small Madagascar hedgehog), 110 nucleotides long. The record is from Ensembl. Lineage: Eukaryota; Metazoa; Chordata; Mammalia; Afrosoricida; Tenrecidae.